GCAUAUCAAUAAGCGGAGGAAAAGAAACCAACAGGGAUUGCCCUAGUAACGGCGAGUGAAGCGGCAACAGCUCAAAUUUGAAAUCUGGCUCUUUUAGGGUCCGAGUUGUAAUUUGCAGAGGGCGCUUUGGCUUUGGCAGCGGUCCAAGUUCCUUGGAACAGGACGUCACAGAGGGUGAGAAUCCCGUACGUGGUCGCUAGCUAUCGCCGUGUAAAGCCCCUUCGACGAGUCGAGUUGUUUGGGAAUGCAGCUCUAAAUGGGAGGUAAAUUUCUUCUAAAGCUAAAUAUUGGCCAGAGACCGAUAGCGCACAAGUAGAGUGAUCGAAAGAUGAAAAGCACUUUGGAAAGAGAGUCAAACAGCACGUGAAAUUGUUGAAAGGGAAGCGCUUGCAGCCAGACUUGCUUGCAGUUGCUCAUCCGGGCUUUUGCCCGGUGCACUCUUCUGUAGGCAGGCCAGCAUCAGUUUGGGCGGUGGGAUAAAGGUCUCUGUCACGUACCUCUCUUCGGGGAGGCCUUAUAGGGGAGACGACAUACCACCAGCCUAGACUGAGGUCCGCGCAUCUGCUAGGAUGCUGGCGUAAUGGCUGUAAGCGGCCCGUCUUGAAACACGGACCAAGGAGUCUAACAUCUAUGCGAGUGUUUGGGUGUCAAGCCCGAGCGCGUAAUGAAAGUGAACGGAGGUGGGAACCCGCAAGGGUGCACCAUCGACCGAUCCUGAAGUUUUCGGAAGGAUUUGAGUAAGAGCAUGGCUGUUGGGACCCGAAAGAUGGUGAACUAUGCUUGAAUAGGGUGAAGCCAGAGGAAACUCUGGUGGAGGCUCGCAGCGGUUCUGACGUGCAAAUCGAUCGUCAAAUUUGGGCAUAGGGGCGAAAGACUAAUCGAACUAUCUAGUAGCUGGUUCCUGCGA
RNAcentral lists this ribosomal RNA (907 nucleotides) under Stemphylium vesicarium. RNAcentral's name for it is "LSU rRNA". It matches the Rfam family "Eukaryotic large subunit ribosomal RNA", at positions 38 to 963 of the family's 3401-position model. Lineage: Eukaryota; Fungi; Ascomycota; Dothideomycetes; Pleosporales; Pleosporaceae. The record is from RNAcentral.